This 1461-nucleotide long non-coding RNA is filed under the name Homo sapiens (human). Its description in RNAcentral is "HSALNT0348355". Lineage: Eukaryota; Metazoa; Chordata; Mammalia; Primates; Hominidae. The record is from RNAcentral.
AAUGACCUAUGCAGAACUCAAAGGCAGAAUUAACAAGGAAGUGAAAAUAGUUUUAUUCUUCUAAUAUCAUGUAUUUCCUUAUAUAUUAAGGAAGAAUUGGUCUCUGUUUAGCAUAACCAUUAUUAAAAAUAUUUAUGUGAGAAAAAAUGUGUCUGGAACUGUUAGAAAUAUACAAUUAAAUAUGUUAUUUGUCCACUUUAUAUGAUAUUUAUGCUAUAUGUGUCUAUUUCUCCUCCUUGCUUUUUAGGUUAUCAGCAUGAAAAUCAGCCUCUGUUUCUAAGAAAUUCUAAAAAUAUUACUCACCUAUGCCUAUCAUGUCCUGCCACAUUAUAAUCUUGGUUACAGCUCUCAAAAUGUCAGAGCAGAUCAUGAACUAAAGAUGUGUCAUAGCCACGGAAGCCCUAGUCUGGCAGGAAAGAAGAGUCAUUAGGCAUCAUCUGGCAACUUGGCUUGGAGAAGUCAGAUCAGUCACCAAGAGUCUGGUGGGGCUGCAGCAAUGGCUAGAAAGAACCAGUGACAUGAUUGCCAGAUAGAGUGGUCAGAGAAGACCUUUCUGAGGCCAUGGUAUUUAAGAUGAGACUUGAAGAGCAACAAGAAGCUAGACACACAAAGCAGAUAAUUUUUUAAUGGCCAUUUCUGGAGAGAAGUUUCCAAGGGAUGAAGUUAUUAUACAGUUUCCAAAUAUUCCUGAAGAGGUCUAAAGAAAAUGUAUUCUGAUUCCACCUUUUACCUGUUUUCCUUUUUUUUUUUCUCUCUCUCUCUUUUUGGAAUUUGUUAUUUGGAUAUAGGAUACACUAGGCUGGUGCUCCAAUUUUCUUAUAUUUUCUGUUUUCCUUGAAGUUUUAGGGGACUUUCUGAACUUUAUUUUUCAAAAUUCAGUUGAGUCUUUAUUGUUUUCCAAAUAUCAACAUUUCUUACCCAGACUAAUGAACUAGCCUACUCACUCAUCUUUCUGAUCCUAUUCCUCUAUAUUAUCCACCCCAAUCCCAAGUUAAUUCUUGUAUGGUCUUUUUGAAAGACUGCAUGAGGUUUUUUGUUUUUAUUUCUGCUUAAAUUAUUUGCUGAUUUAUUUGCACUUAGGAUACAGGCCUAAAUCCUUAGCUUUGCUGACAUCAUGAAAGAUGUGGGCCCUCCCUAGCACUCCAGUUUCAUCUUACAUCAUGCCACUCUUUGGUACUUUAUCCUUACUGUCCAGCUUCAUUUCCUAGAGUGUCCUGUGACCCUCUUGACUCAGAGCCUCUGCACGUGCUGUUCCCUGUGUUUGUCUCCUUUGUCCAGCUCUACCAACUUCCUUUAUCUCUCAGUGUUCAGGUGUCAUCUCAUCUCCAGCAUGAAUUAGAUGUCUUAUCUUGUGCUUCUCAUUGGGCUAUACUGUAAUGCUUAGCACAUUAGUCAGUUCCCUCAUUGCUAUAAAGAAAUACCUGAGGCUGGGUAAUUUAUAAAGAAAGGAGGUUUAAUUGG